CGCGUGAGGAACCUGGCUCAAAGAGGGGGACAACAGUUGGAAACGACUGCUAAUACCGCAUAAGCCCACGGGUCGGCAUCGACCUGAGGGAAAAGGAGCAAUCCGCUUUGAGAUGGCCUCGCGUCCGAUUAGCUAGUUGGUGAGGUAACGGCCCACCAAGGCGACGAUCGGUAGCCGGACUGAGAGGUUGAACGGCCACAUUGGGACUGAGACACGGCCCAGACUCCUACGGGAGGCAGCAGUGGGGAAUAUUGCACAAUGGGGGAAACCCUGAUGCAGCGACGCCGCGUGGAGGAAGAAGGUCUUCGGAUUGUAAACUCCUGUUGUUGAGGAAGAUAAUGACGGUACUCAACAAGGAAGUGACGGCUAACUACGUGCCAGCAGCCGCGGUAAAACGUAGGUCACAAGCGUUGUCCGGAAUUACUGGGUGUAAAGGGAGCGCAGGCGGGAAGACAAGUUGGAAGUGAAAUCUAUGGGCUCAACCCAUAAACUGCUUUCAAAACUGUUUUUCUUGAGUAGUGCAGAGGUAGGCGGAAUUCCCGGUGUAGCGGUGGAAUGCGUAGAUAUCGGGAGGAACACCAGUGGCGAAGGCGGCCUACUGGGCACCAACUGACGCUGAGGCUCGAAAGUGUG
RNAcentral lists this ribosomal RNA (633 nucleotides) under uncultured bacterium. RNAcentral's name for it is "bacterial SSU rRNA". It matches the Rfam family "Bacterial small subunit ribosomal RNA", at positions 114 to 763 of the family's 1533-position model. The record is from RNAcentral.